UACGUAGGUGGCGAGCGUUGUCCGGAAUUACUGGGUGUAAAGCGCGUGUAGGCGGGAGGCCAAGUCUGUGGUGAAAUCGCUCGGCUUAACUGGGCGGGGUCCAUGGAAACUGGUCACCUGGAGGUCGGUAGAGGCAAGUGGAAUUCCCGGUGUAGUGGUGAAAUGCGUAGAGAUCGGGAGGAACACCAGUGGCGAAGGCGGCUUGCUGGGCCGGACCUGACGCUGAGACGCGAAAGCGUGGGGAGCGAACCGG
This 253-nucleotide ribosomal RNA is filed under the name uncultured bacterium. Its description in RNAcentral is "partial 16S ribosomal RNA". It matches the Rfam family "Bacterial small subunit ribosomal RNA", at positions 524 to 776 of the family's 1533-position model. The record is from RNAcentral.